UUAAGCUUCUCUUCCGCCUCUUUGGAAGCCAUUCAUUUUCCAGAAACCUUCUUCCUUGUCUACAAUUAUUUCCUGACCAGAAAUUAAAAAGAAAAACAUUCUCCAUCUUAUUAUCUAUGUCGACUUCAUGUACUGAUUCCUCAACCGAGUCAGAUGAUGAGGACGGGAGUGCAAUGACUUGUCUCACAAAAAUAUGGGAUUUGGUGGCAUCGGUAAUUAAAUAGAGCAAACGUGGAAAUGGGAGCGGAAUUUUAGUCUUUUGUUCUAGAAUAUCGAGGUUAAGACGAAUGGGGACAUUGGAAUGGUAUUUCUGUGUUUUACUAAUUUAUUUUAAGAGAAAUGGUAAGUAGACUGUCUAGCAUUUCUCUCAACUUUUCACCUGCCUUACAAGAUUUUUGUUAUUAAUAUUCUUUAGUAGAAUUUUCGAACCUGAACGCGGAAAUGGGCAUUCAGUCCUUACCGUGUGUUGGGAAGUGCUCGUUUCCAUGAAUCUUGUUGCUAAUUUGGGUUAAAAAAAUGGCUUGAUAGGGAAGAGGUCGAUAGCAUCUCUUGGCGGGAUUUGAAGGUUGCUAUGAGCUUUUGGUAUGUGAACAAUUGCCUUGUAGGGCGCCAAGUAAUUGUUGGUGAGUUUGACAAGCCAUUAGUUGAGAAUGAGUCGGACCGUGAUAGGAUGAUGAAACUAUGUGCCUUUGUCAUGAUCGAGUAUGAUGAUAGGCUAAUGACGGUCGAGCAAUGCAAUGAAAAGCUUCGAGAAGACAAGAAGCUAGUGGAUGCCGUCAAGAAGGAGCGCAAGCCUCGGAUUGAGGCCAUCUAGCUCAAGGACCAAGCUUUGGAGAGGGUAAAGCGGCGAGAUGAGGAUAACCUAAGGCUUAAAAAGCAGCUGGAGGUGGUUAUCUUUGAGGCGUCCAAUGUCAGAGAGGAGUAAGAUAGUGCCUUAGUCAAGGUCUCUGAGCUAAAAAAGAGUCUCCCUGAUGAGAGGGAAGAUGCCGUGCAGGAGUUUUUGGGCACUCAGACUUCCACAAGUUUAUAAGGCCUUACUACACCCCAAGAGAUUCGGCAUGAGGGGUGGCUAUUCUCGAGCGAUACCAUGGUGAAGGUGUCAUUAACUGGUCAUGCUUUGAGAAAUACCAGAAGGAGGUGGAGCAUGAGGAUGAUGCCAGUGCCGACAAGCAGACUCAGCAGGGUGAAGAUGGUAUUGGAAAUGGCAAUGGUGGUU
Long non-coding RNA from Pyrus x bretschneideri (Chinese white pear), 1216 nucleotides. RefSeq lists it as uncharacterized. The record is from RefSeq and is a predicted model, not a curated record. The transcript has 3 exons. Lineage: Eukaryota; Viridiplantae; Streptophyta; Magnoliopsida; Rosales; Rosaceae.